Molecule: non-coding RNA, 83 nt
Filed under: Chloroflexota bacterium
Lineage: Bacteria; Bacillati; Chloroflexota
Description: Chloroflexi bacterium c-di-GMP sequence
Rfam family: c-di-GMP-I riboswitch aptamer
About the family: GEMM was predicted in a large-scale screen for bacterial structured RNA regulatory elements.
Source: RNAcentral
CAGGCCGCAAGGCCCCCCGACUCGUCGGGGCGCAAAGCUCCGGGUCGAUCCCCUGCCCAAGGGACGACGGCCGAGCUGCCGAA